This 484-nucleotide ribosomal RNA is filed under the name uncultured bacterium. RNAcentral describes it as "partial 16S ribosomal RNA". It matches the Rfam family "Bacterial small subunit ribosomal RNA", at positions 30 to 507 of the family's 1533-position model. The record is from RNAcentral.
AUUGAACGCUGGCGGCAGGCCUAACACAUGCAAGUCGAGCGGAUGAAGGGAGCUUGCUCCUGGAUUCAGCGGCGGACGGGUGAGUAAUGCCUAGGAAUCUGCCUGGUAGUGGGGGAUAACGUCCGGAAACGGGCGCUAAUACCGCAUACGUCCUGAGGGAGAAAGUGGGGGAUCUUCGGACCUCACGCUAUCAGAUGAGCCUAGGUCGGAUUAGCUAGUUGGUGGGGUAAAGGCCUACCAAGGCGACGAUCCGUAACUGGUCUGAGAGGAUGAUCAGUCACACUGGAACUGGGACACGGUCCAGACUCCUACGGGAGGCAGCAGUGGGGAAUAUUGGACAAUGGGCGAAAGCCUGAUCCAGCCAUGCCGCGUGUGUGAAGAAGGUCUUCGGAUUGUAAAGCACUUUAAGUUGGGAGGAAGGGCAGUAAGUUAAUACAUUGCUGUUUUGACGUUACCAACAGAAUAAGCACCGGCUAACUUCGUG